RNAcentral lists this unclassified non-coding RNA (458 nucleotides) under Hevea brasiliensis (rubber tree). The record is from RNAcentral. Lineage: Eukaryota; Viridiplantae; Streptophyta; Magnoliopsida; Malpighiales; Euphorbiaceae.
GGAAUAGGUAGAGUUAUGUCGGUUUGGUUAUUGAUUGGUUGUUGUAAAUAAUGAGAUGUUCAUAACAGUAAUGCAUGCAUUUAAUGAAGUUAUCCUUCAUAUAUAUAAGUUGAAACAGUGUUAUUUCUAAAAUCCAGUGAACAUUUUUUGGUAUUGAUCUUCAUAACAUGUUAAAUACUCUAUUUCGAAUAUAUCAUUGAGUGCAUUACCAAGCAACUGUUGUAUAUCAAUAAUUGGAUUUAUGAGAAGUAAAAUUUUCCAUUAACGUUGGAAUGUAGUUAUUUUCCAUGUCUUCUUUGAUAGUAGUUUAGGAUGAAUUACUAUCUGUUACUAAGUCUGAGAGAAUUGAGGGGCUAUGAUCUAUGUCAUUUCAUGCUGUAUGAUGUUGUGUUCUUCUGUAUGCAAAAUGUGUACCAUUUUUUAUCUUUCCCUUCCCACCCUCUCUCUCUCUCUCUCUC